Paramisgurnus dabryanus is the source of this 172-nucleotide long non-coding RNA. RefSeq lists it as uncharacterized. The record is from RefSeq and is a predicted model, not a curated record. NCBI's taxonomy places the organism in Eukaryota, Metazoa, Chordata, Actinopteri, Cypriniformes, Cobitidae.
GUCGAAGUAGAGAUGAACAGAUGAAGAUACAGCCCGUAAAAAUACUUAUUCUUGGUGAGUGCCAUGUAGCGACGGAUCAAACGGACACUCAUGUCAAGCUUGAUGAGGACACAGUCAAAGCUUUAAAAGACCUUGUGAUUAAGUCUUCAGUGUCUGAAUGGCAAGAAGAAGA